GGGGCAGUAGCUCAGCGGUUAGAGCUGCGGACUCAUAACCCGUAGGUCACAGGUUCAAAUCCUGUCUGCCCCA
Molecule: transfer RNA, 73 nt
Filed under: Chlamydia pecorum
Lineage: Bacteria; Pseudomonadati; Chlamydiota; Chlamydiia; Chlamydiales; Chlamydiaceae
Also listed under: 11 other names
Description: tRNA-Ile
Rfam family: tRNA
About the family: Transfer RNA (tRNA) molecules are approximately 80 nucleotides in length. Their secondary structure includes four short double-helical elements and three loops (D, anti-codon, and T loops). Further hydrogen bonds mediate the characteristic L-shaped molecular structure. tRNAs have two regions of fundamental functional importance: the anti-codon, which is responsible for specific mRNA codon recognition, and the 3' end, to which the tRNAs corresponding amino acid is attached (by aminoacyl-tRNA synthetases). tRNAs cope with the degeneracy of the genetic code in two manners: having more than one tRNA (with a specific anti-codon) for a particular amino acid; and 'wobble' base-pairing, i.e. permitting non-standard base-pairing at the 3rd anti-codon position.
Source: RNAcentral